This 1498-nucleotide ribosomal RNA is filed under the name Flavobacterium sp. KJF15-16. Its description in RNAcentral is "16S ribosomal RNA". It matches the Rfam family "Bacterial small subunit ribosomal RNA". Lineage: Bacteria; Pseudomonadati; Bacteroidota; Flavobacteriia; Flavobacteriales; Flavobacteriaceae. The record is from RNAcentral.
UUUGAUCCUGGCUCAGGAUGAACGCUAGCGGCAGGCUUAACACAUGCAAGUCGAGGGGUAGGGAAAGCUUGCUUUUCUGAGACCGGCGCACGGGUGCGUAACGCGUAUGCAAUCUACCUUUCACAAAGGGAUAGCCCAGAGAAAUUUGGAUUAAUACCUUAUAGUAUUAUAGAAUGGCAUCAUUUUAUAAUUAAAGAUUUAUCGGUGAAAGAUGAGCAUGCGUCCCAUUAGCUAGUUGGUAUGGUAACGGCAUACCAAGGCUACGAUGGGUAGGGGUCCUGAGAGGGAGAUCCCCCACACUGGUACUGAGACACGGACCAGACUCCUACGGGAGGCAGCAGUGAGGAAUAUUGGACAAUGGGCGCAAGCCUGAUCCAGCCAUGCCGCGUGCAGGAUGACGGUCCUAUGGAUUGUAAACUGCUUUUAUACAGGAAGAAACACCUCUACGUGUAGAGACUUGACGGUACUGUAAGAAUAAGGAUCGGCUAACUCCGUGCCAGCAGCCGCGGUAAUACGGAGGAUCCAAGCGUUAUCCGGAAUCAUUGGGUUUAAAGGGUCCGUAGGCGGUCAGAUAAGUCAGUGGUGAAAGCCCAUCGCUCAACGGUGGAACGGCCAUUGAUACUGUCUGACUUGAAUUAUUAGGAAGUAACUAGAAUAUGUAGUGUAGCGGUGAAAUGCUUAGAGAUUACAUGGAAUACCAAUUGCGAAGGCAGGUUACUACUAAUUGAUUGACGCUGAGGGACGAAAGCGUGGGUAGCGAACAGGAUUAGAUACCCUGGUAGUCCACGCCGUAAACGAUGGAUACUAGCUGUUGGGAGCAAUCUCAGUGGCUAAGCGAAAGUGAUAAGUAUCCCACCUGGGGAGUACGAACGCAAGUUUGAAACUCAAAGGAAUUGACGGGGGCCCGCACAAGCGGUGGAGCAUGUGGUUUAAUUCGAUGAUACGCGAGGACCUUACCAAGGCUUAAAUGUAGUUUGACCGGUUGGAAACAGUCUUUCGCAAGACAAAUUACAAGGUGCUGCAUGGUUGUCGUCAGCUCGUGCCGUGAGGUGUCAGGUUAAGUCCUAUAACGAGCGCAACCCCUGUUGUUAGUUGCCAGCGAGUCAUGUCGGGAACUCUAACGAGACUGCCAGUGCAAACUGUGAGGAAGGUGGGGAUGACGUCAAAUCAUCACGGCCCUUACGCCUUGGGCUACACACGUGCUACAAUGGCCGGUACAGAGAGCAGCCACUGGGCGACCAGGAGCGAAUCUACAAAACCGGUCACAGUUCGGAUCGGAGUCUGCAACUCGACUCCGUGAAGCUGGAAUCGCUAGUAAUCGGAUAUCAGCCAUGAUCCGGUGAUACGUUCCCGGGCCUUGUACACACCGCCCGUCAAGCCAUGGAAGCUGGGGUGCCUGAAGUCGGUGACCGCAAGGAGCUGCCUAGGGUAAAACUGGUAACUAGGGCUAAGUCGUAACAAGUAGCCGUACCGGAAGUGCGGCUGGAUCACCUCCUUA